Molecule: ribosomal RNA, 492 nt
Filed under: uncultured bacterium
Lineage: Bacteria
Description: partial 16S ribosomal RNA
Rfam family: Bacterial small subunit ribosomal RNA
Source: RNAcentral
AGUGAACGCUGGCGGUAGGCCUAACACAUGCAAGUCGAACGGCAGCACAGUAAGAGCUUGCUCUUACGGGUGGCGAGUGGCGGACGGGUGAGAAAUACAUCGGAAUCUACUUUUUCGUGGGGGAUAACGUAGGGAAACUUACGCUAAUACCGCAUACGACCUACGGGUGAAAGCAGGGGAUCUUCGGACCUUGCGCGAUUGAAUGAGCCGAUGUCGGAUUAGCUAGUUGGCGGGGUAAAGGCCCACCAAGGCGACGAUCCGUAGCUGGUCUGAGAGGAUGAUCAGCCACACUGGAACUGAGACACGGUCCAGACUCCUACGGGAGGCAGCAGUGGGGAAUAUUGGACAAUGGGCGCAGGCCUGAUCCAGCCAUACCGCGUGGGUGAAGAAGGCCUUCGGGUUGUAAAGCCCUUUUGUUGGGAAAGAAAAGCAGCAGGUUAAUACCCCGCUGUUCUGACGGUACCCAAAGAAUAAGCACCGGCUAACUUCGUG